RNAcentral lists this ribosomal RNA (475 nucleotides) under uncultured bacterium. RNAcentral describes it as "bacterial SSU rRNA". It matches the Rfam family "Bacterial small subunit ribosomal RNA", at positions 328 to 793 of the family's 1533-position model. The record is from RNAcentral.
CGCUAUCACUCCUACGGGGAGGCAGCGAUAGGGAAUACUUCCACAAUGGGCGCAAGCCUGAUGGAGCAACACCGCGUGAGUGAAGAAGGGUUUCGGCUCGUAAAGCUCUGUUGUUAAAGAAGAACACGUAUGAGAGUAACUGUUCAUACGUUGACGGUAUUUAACCAGAAAGUCACGGCUAACUACGUGCCAGCAGCCGCGGUAAUACGUAGGUGGCAAGCGUUAUCCGGAUUUAUUGGGCGUAAAGAGAGUGCAGGCGGUUUUCUAAGUCUGAUGUGAAAGCCUUCGGCUUAACCGGAGAAGUGCAUCGGAAACUGGAUAACUUGAGUGCAGAAGAGGGUAGUGGAACUCCAUGUGUAGCGGUGGAAUGCGUAGAUAUAUGGAAGAACACCAGUGGCGAAGGCGGCUACCUGGUCUGCAACUGACGCUGAGACUCGAAAGCAUGGGUAGCGAACAGGAUUAGAUACCCUGGUAG